ACACAGGAUCUUGCAUCCCCUGCGAUAUCCGGCACUCUCAUCCGCGCACAGCGACGAAAGUAUAUCCACUUUCCGUUCACUAAAUAUAUAAAUAUUCAACAAUUAGUUAUUGUUUGCUAUGAGAUGGGUCCGCAAUACCAGUCAACGAAAACUACUCUGGGAAAGUGAAUUCCUUCUAAUCAUGGUUCAACCAAUUUCGUAAAGAAAUGAAGGUAUUCUGCUUUGCGUGACUAGGUUGAGCAAUACUAUUGUUACAAUUUUAUUUUAUUACCGUAUUGGUCUGAAUAUAAAUCGACCCCUAAUCUUACGAUUUAAUUUUAGGGUUUCCUUGUAAACCGAAGAUAACUCGAUUUUAUGAGAUAAUGACUUAUUAUGUCAAGCAUAUUUGAUGAUUGAUGUUGCAUUUUUGCAUAUACAUUGCAUCAGUAAAACUUGAGACUACGAUGUAAAUAUCGGAUUUUUCAUUCACCGAGACUUUGGACUGAUGCAAUUCGAAAAAAAUUGAAGUUUGAGUUUUUACAAUUCAUGAUUUCAUUAAUCAAAUUUCACAACAAUUGGUCAAUAACGAUUUUUCUUUCGUUGAAGCAAUUUUUCAAAAAUAAACUGUAUAUAAGUGGGCCCUGCGUACAAGUCGAGUACAGAUUCUGAGAAAGAAAUCUGCAACCAAAACCUCGAGUUUUAUUCAUGCCAAUACGGUACAUCAAUUUUCUACUUAAUUCUGUUAAAUUUCUCCGUAUCAUUGUCAUACCAAAACGAUUAUGUUUAACGUUCAACUAACGCUGAAUUAUCAAUAGCAUUGAGUAACCAUGAUCUAUUAUUAACGACUUACGGCUAGAAAAACUAGUUCUUAGUAGGAUAUGGUUACUAAACGUUAUUAAGCAUCGCACCUAACAAAUUAAUCAGAAGCUAAGAGAUUACUCAUGAGUAACUCAUUAUCAGGAUUUCUUGCAAUUCUUAAAAUUUGGCACAGUUCACUGAUAGUAUAAAUUAGGGUGUAAUACCUCGUUUCACUAGCUGCAUUCAGCUCUCAUUAAAGUUCUAAUGAGCAUGAGCCUAAAGCUAGCAGCCAGAGUUAGCAGCUAAACGUGUUCAACUUUUGCAAAUAGAAAAAUGCAAUUUUAUCCUCAUUCUAUGUAAAAGUAUAGAGGAUUCAAGGUAUUUCACAAACUUUUGAUUUUCGGACUUCACUAAAUUAUUCGAAUGAGCAUUAGAAAGUUCAUGUACUAAUUCUGGCUGGUAGCUUCAGCCUCGUCCAAUGAGUUGUUGAAGUUAGCUGUGACCUGCAAUUGAUAAAAUUUCCGCUUAAUAUAUGUAUUGUCACCUUUUUGUCGGCUUUUUUCGCACAUCGUAGGUGUCACACCCGGUAAAUGCUCCAGAGGUUGUUCCCGAUUGCAGUCGGUAAUCGGAACGGUUGUAUUAUCAAACGGAUCGGCACAUUUAGGAUCAUAAUCCGACCUGCAUACCCAGCAUUUUAUACCGAGUCCUAAAAUUUGAUAACAAUAGAUGAGAACGUGAUAAGUGGAAGCAUAAAGUUAAGCCUUUCAGCAUAAGACGAUACAUUUUUCCAACGCUCUACUGACGAUUGGAUUGAAGAGCGAAAAACCAUGUUUGUGUUCCACUAUAGAACGCACCCACUUUUAUCAAACGAACGUAUCUACAUUUAUUCACACGAUGCGUUUAAUUCGGCGCGCCCAAUGAUUCGUUGUCAUGUAUUUUUACCUUCGUGGAUGCAAGUGGCCAGGACGAUGAUAAGUAACGGAAGUAACUUCCAGUUCGAACCCAUUUUUACCUUCGGCACAACUGAAUUAUGUAUGGCACAAGUCGAAAGUAAUUUACUCCGGUCGUUUACUCGCCGUAAGACACGAAUCUGGUCAGGUCAUCUGACUUUCUACGCCGCACUGUUCGGUUGGUCUAAACUUGCAGCCUGCGCGUCGUGUUGGCAAUGAGUGUAAAGGUCGCAAGACAUUAUGUCGGACGCUCGUUAGCCACCGCUGUUUGGUUGGCUGAAGAUGUAAAAACACUGCUAGUCUAAUGGGCUUUCCGUAACCGAAAUUUAACGAUAUAAAUUCAUCGUCAAUCGGUGUCCUAUGCGUGGCGCAGCUUAAGUCGGUAAACGGUCUGUACGUGAAGCCGACAAGAAUUAAUGUUACCAUCACUCAACGAAUCUACCCAGAUGGAUGAUAGUGUUGAAAUGACCGCUGAUUGACAUUUUUGUGUAUCGCCUGUAUACCUGUAUAACUGUGCAAAUUCAUUUCAGUCAAAUUCAGCAAUGUUUAUCUACCUACAUCUCAGUCAGAUCGACAAUUAGCUAUUUUCGUAUCAAGGGUGUAAAUCGUUACGCCCGUGAUGCAAACAAUAUUUUUCGGCCUACUAUGGCGAAACAGUACAUUGCGUAUAAAAGGCGGAAAGGAGGCGAUUUUGCCCGGUGUGAAGUUGGCCACACGAACGAAGCGAGGGCGGCCUUCACACGAGUCAAAUCGCAUUCCGUCCGUGGUGCGAAACACUUUUUGUCCGAUUCUUUUGAAACGCGGCAUUUCAUGCAUGUAAAGCAGGCGGGAAGUAGCGAGUUUCAGGGCAAUUCCGAAGCGUGCGGACAAGGAUUUUCCACCCUCUAGAGCCGGACCAUUAUAAAUACGUGCGAAGAAAUUCUCGGGUUAUCUUCUUGCCGUUUUCGGUACUCUUUUCACUGCAGGUGGUUACAAACCACAUAUCCCUUUUUGAACAGUCUCUUCAACUGUUUCAAGUUCACCUUUCGGACACGUAACAAUAUAAUAAAUUCUCACUUCUUGAAAUUAAAUAAAUGAGCAACAGUGCAAAAUGUAGCUAUACUCGCUUCAACUUCCUUUGAUGCAGAAUGGCAGAUUAUAACUAUGUGUUUCGGCAAAGUAGCGAUGUAAGAGUUCAAGCGAAUGUCAAUCGCGAUUUCGAGUCAAUCUAACACAAUGUCAUGUAUGUGGUACGUAAAGCUGACAGGAUAAAAAUUGAAUUUACGGAUAAUAUUGCGUUGUAAAUAGGAUUUAAUGAUUUAAAAGCCAACGGAUUAUUCACCUUGAAAAUCAGUUAUCGAAAAACAACCGUCGAGAACCUCAUGAUAGAUUUAUUUUUAUUAUUCAUUUUUAUAUUUGUUCAAGCCCCUUCAUAAUUUUCCUCAAUUGAAACCCAAUUACCGCUUCCAAAUUUUUGGAAAAACUCAGAAAAUAGGUUCGGCCAUCUACAUAUCUUCAACGUGCUUCUAGCAAAGAGAAAAGUGUUUCAGAAUUUUUCGGAUAUUCUCAAGACUGGAACCAUUGAAGUUUUCCAACAUUUUUCAAAAAUAUUUGUAACUCUUCGUUGACUUUGUAAAGAACUUUGAAAAUAUAAAUUGAGCAUCUUAGAGAUACUAUUGUCGCCUACAAAAGAUCUGAUAUAUUCAAGUAAAUAUAAACGACACCUACACAUUCAUGUAUUUGAUUGACAUUUAGUUUUCCGUUGUAUAAUUUCGGCACUCAUUUAUUGUGCGAGAUUACCCAGAGGUAACGUUACAAAAUUUCCUCAACUCUUGACAUUUGAAACCGCGCAAAUGUAUAAAUAUCUUUAAGAAAUACAUUGCAACAAUGCUUUAAAUUGCUAUUUAUAUUAUAUAUUCACGUCUUUAUUGAAUUAGAAUAUCAGUGCGUUGUACAAAAAUAUAAAAACGUCUUGUAUAAAUUCAUUGUUCUAAUUCUAAGCGUAAUUCAAAAUUAAAAAUUAUGGCCAGUUAUUGAAAACAUUUGUCACAGAAAUUUCAAACGGAACAGAUAAAUAUUGGGUCACCGAGCUAAGAUAAAUUAUGCUCAACUUCUAGACUAUUGUAUUUAUACUUACAAGUAUCAUUGAUAUGUGUUAUACUUUAUUGAAUAGUUCAUACAUAGUAUUUAAUUAGCCGAGGCACUAAUUUCUCAUUGAGUAAUAGUUUUUGAAAUGCAACAUUAUAAUUAUCAGUGUGUCAAGCUUUGCUCUACAUCUAUAUAUAAUGAAUGGGAAUCUUUAGCAGGUUUGAUAUCCACCUGACAAAGUGAAUAAUAAAUAAUAAAA
Molecule: long non-coding RNA, 4053 nt
Filed under: Neodiprion pinetum (white pine sawfly)
Lineage: Eukaryota; Metazoa; Arthropoda; Insecta; Hymenoptera; Diprionidae
Description: uncharacterized LOC124210865
Source: RNAcentral